This 253-nucleotide ribosomal RNA is filed under the name uncultured bacterium. RNAcentral's name for it is "partial 16S ribosomal RNA". It matches the Rfam family "Bacterial small subunit ribosomal RNA", at positions 524 to 776 of the family's 1533-position model. The record is from RNAcentral.
UACGUAGGGUGCGAGCGUUGUCCGGAAUUAUUGGGCGUAAAGAGCGUGUAGGCGGCCAGGUAGGUCUGCUGUGAAAACUCGAGGCUUAACCUCGAGAUGUCGGCGGAAACCAUCUGGCUAGAGUCCGGAAGAGGAGAGUGGAAUUCCUGGUGUAGCGGUGAAAUGCGCAGAUAUCAGGAAGAACACCCGUGGCGAAGGCGGCUCUCUGGGACGGUACUGACGCUGAGACGCGAAAGCGUGGGGAGCGAACAGG